CACUUCUUAGUUUUUCUUUCAGUGUGGGAAGAUAUGGCUCACUUUACAGUUCCCCCAUUUCCUAAGAGUGAAUUGUGAUUUCUGUCACAAUGAUUUCCAACUCUGGUUCUCAAAGAAGUAUUUAAAUUUUUUAUGCUCUGAAGUGAUGACAUUUGAGCUUCUACCACAGACAGCUCUACAUUAAAAGUGGUCUCUCCUUACUAUCUGCUUCAGUAGAAUAGGAAACAACAAACAGAAAACUGUGGUCUGCAGAAGCCCUAAGAAGCUUCAGAGGUAACUACCAACAGAAAUCAUGAUUAAGGCAGAAAAAAAGAAAAAGAACAAAACAAGUAAGUAAACAAACAAAUAAACCCCACAUA
Non-coding RNA from Phalacrocorax carbo (great cormorant), 359 nucleotides. The record is from RefSeq and is a predicted model, not a curated record. Lineage: Eukaryota; Metazoa; Chordata; Aves; Suliformes; Phalacrocoracidae.